Molecule: ribosomal RNA, 446 nt
Filed under: uncultured bacterium
Lineage: Bacteria
Description: bacterial SSU rRNA
Rfam family: Bacterial small subunit ribosomal RNA
Source: RNAcentral
ACUCCUACGGGAGGCAGCAGUGGGGAAUAUUGGACAAUGGGCGCAAGCCUGAUCCAGCCAUGCCGCGUGAGUGAUGAAGGCCCGUAGGGUUGUAAAGCUCUUUCGCUGUGAAGAUAAUGACGGUAGCAGGUAAAGAAACCCCGGCUAACUCCGUGCCAGCAGCCGCGGUAAUACGGAGGGGUUAGCGUUGUUCGGAAUUACUGGGCGUAAAGCGCACGUAGGCGGAUCGGAAAGUUGGGGUGAAAUCCCGGGGCUCAACCCCGGAACGGCCUCCAAAACUAUCGGUCUAGAGUUCGAGAGAGGUGAGUGGAAUUCCGAGUGUAGAGGUGAAAUUCGUAGAUAUUCGGAGGAACACCAGUGGCGAAGGCGGCUCACUGGCUCGAUACUGACGCUGAGGUGCGAAAGUGUGGGGAGCAAACAGGAUUAGAUACCCUGGUAGGACAGUG